UACGGAGGAUCCGAGCGUUAUCCGGAUUUAUUGGGUUUAAAGGGUGCGUAGGCGGUCAGGUAAGUUAGAGGUGAAAGCUCGAUGCUCAACAUCGAAACUGCCUCUGAUACUGUCUGACUAGAGUGUAGUUGCGGAAGGCGGAAUGUGUGGUGUAGCGGUGAAAUGCUUAGAUAUCAGGAGGAACAUCGGUGGCGUAAGCGCUUUACUGGGCCGUAAUUGACGCUGAGGAACGAAAGCCAGGGUAGCAAAUGGG
Molecule: ribosomal RNA, 253 nt
Filed under: uncultured bacterium
Lineage: Bacteria
Description: partial 16S ribosomal RNA
Rfam family: Bacterial small subunit ribosomal RNA
Source: RNAcentral